UGAAUAUAGGACGUCCAACUUAACUUGGAGUCCGAACUCUCACUUUCUAACCCUGUGCACUUGUUUGGGAUAGUAACUCUCGCAAGAGAGCGAACUCCUAUUCACUUAUAAACACAAAGUCUAUGAAUGUAUUAAAUUUUAUAACAAAAUAAAACUUUCAACAACGGAUCUCUUGGCUCUCGCAUCGAUGAAGAACGCAGCGAAAUGCGAUAAGUAAUGUGAAUUGCAGAAUUCAGUGAAUCAUCGAAUCUUUGAACGCACCUUGCGCUCCAUGGUAUUCCGUGGAGCAUGCCUGUUUGAGUGUCAUGAAUACUUCAACCCUCCUCUUUCUUAAUGAUUGAAGAGGUGUUUGGUUUCUGAGCGCUGCUGGCCUUUACGGUCUAGCUCGUUCGUAAUGCAUUAGCAUCCGCAAUCGAACUUCGGAUUGACUUGGCGUAAUAGACUAUUCGCUGAGGAAUUCUAGUCUUCGGAUUAGAGCCGGGUUGGGUUAAAGGAAGCUUCUAAUCAGAAUGUCUACAUUUUAAGAUUAGAUCUCAAAUCAGGUAGGACUACCCGCUGAACUUAAGCAUAUCAAUAAGCGGAGGAAAAGAAACUAACAAGGAUUCCCCUAGUAGCGGCGAGCGAAGCGGGAAGAGCUCAAAUUUAUAAUCUGGCACCUUCGGUGUCCGAGUUGUAAUCUCUAGAAAUGUUUUCCGCGUUGGACCGCACACAAGUCUGUUGGAAUACAGCGGCAUAGUGGUGAGACCCCCGUAUAUGGUGCGGACGCCCAGCGCUUUGUGAUACAUUUUCGAAGAGUCGAGUUGUUUGGGAAUGCAGCUCAAAUUGGGUGGUAAAUUCCAUCUAAAGCUAAAUAUUGGCGAGAGACCGAUAGCGAACAAGUACCGUGAGGGAAAGAUGAAAAGCACUUUGGAAAGAGAGUUAACAGUACGUGAAAUUGUUGGAAGGGAAACGCUUGAAGUCAGACUUGCUUGCCGAGCAAUCGGUUUGCAGGCCAGCAUCAGUUUUCCGGGAUGGAUAAUGGUAGAGAGAAGGUAGCAGUUUCGGCUGUGUUAUAGCUCUCUGCUGGAUACAUCUUGGGGGACUGAGGAACGCAGUGUGCCUUUGGCGGGGGUUUCGACCUCUUCACACU
Molecule: ribosomal RNA, 1129 nt
Filed under: Rhodotorula mucilaginosa
Lineage: Eukaryota; Fungi; Basidiomycota; Microbotryomycetes; Sporidiobolales; Sporidiobolaceae
Description: eukaryotic LSU rRNA
Rfam family: Eukaryotic large subunit ribosomal RNA (bases 529-1129)
Source: RNAcentral